Ciona savignyi (Pacific transparent sea squirt) is the source of this 45-nucleotide non-coding RNA. NCBI's taxonomy places the organism in Eukaryota, Metazoa, Chordata, Ascidiacea, Phlebobranchia, Cionidae. The record is from Rfam.
AAAAAGGCAUUCUUAAAUGCCACCAAUAAACAUAGAGGAUGUUAU